UAACCCCUCAGUAUUAUUAUGUGACAGUAGCUGCUCCCAAUCUAUGCCCUUAAAUGCUGCCCUCAACCCAGGGAAAUUAGCCUUUUAAAAAUUCAGUGUUUUUGCUCUGCUUGACAGACUUUGCUUCUUAUAGUUUAGGGGGAAUAUAAU
Long non-coding RNA from Bufo bufo (common toad), 150 nucleotides. RefSeq lists it as uncharacterized. The transcript has 3 exons. NCBI's taxonomy places the organism in Eukaryota, Metazoa, Chordata, Amphibia, Anura, Bufonidae. The record is from RefSeq and is a predicted model, not a curated record.